This 332-nucleotide ribosomal RNA is filed under the name uncultured bacterium. RNAcentral describes it as "bacterial SSU rRNA". It matches the Rfam family "Bacterial small subunit ribosomal RNA", at positions 568 to 898 of the family's 1533-position model. The record is from RNAcentral.
CUCGUAGGCGGUUCGAUACGGCGGUGGUGAAAGCUCCCGGCUCAGCUGGGGGAGGCCCAUCGCGUCGGUCGGACUCGAGGGUAGUAGAGGCGGAUGGAAUUCCUGGUGUAGCGGUGAAAUGCGUAGAGAUCAGGAGGAACACCCGUGGCGAAGGCGGUCCGCUGGGCCAUGCCUGACGCUGAGGAGCGAAGGCCAGGGGAGUGAACGGGAUUAGAUACCCCGGUAAUCCUGGCGGUAAACGAUGGACACUAGGUGUCAGCGGUAUCGACCCCGCUGGCGCCGGAGCUAACGCGUGAAGUGUCCCGCCUGGGGAGUACGGCCGCAAGGUUGAA